ACGUAGGGGGCGAGCGUUGUCCGGAUUUAUUGGGCGUAAAGGGCGCGUAGGCGGCCACCGCAAGUCGACUGUGAAAUCUCCGGGCUUAACCCGGAAAGGUCAGCCGAUACUGCGGGGCUAGAGUGCAGAAGGGGCAACUGGAAUUCUCGGUGUAGCGGUGAAAUGCGUAGAUAUCGGGAGGAACACCGGUGGCGAAGGCGGCCUUCUGGACGGAUACUGACGCUGAUACGCGAAAGCGUGGGGAGCAAACAGGA
Molecule: ribosomal RNA, 254 nt
Filed under: uncultured prokaryote
Description: partial 16S ribosomal RNA
Rfam family: Bacterial small subunit ribosomal RNA
Source: RNAcentral